Molecule: ribosomal RNA, 465 nt
Filed under: Vreelandella stevensii
Lineage: Bacteria; Pseudomonadati; Pseudomonadota; Gammaproteobacteria; Oceanospirillales; Halomonadaceae
Description: partial 16S ribosomal RNA
Rfam family: Bacterial small subunit ribosomal RNA
Source: RNAcentral
CCUACGGGUGGCAGCAGUGGGGAAUAUUGGACAAUGGGGGGAACCCUGAUCCAGCCAUGCCGCGUGUGUGAAGAAGGCCCUCGGGUUGUAAAGCACUUUCAGUGAGGAAGAACGCCUGGUGGUUAAUACCCAUCAGGAAAGACAUCACUCACAGAAGAAGCACCGGCUAACUCCGUGCCAGCAGCCGCGGUAAUACGGAGGGUGCGAGCGUUAAUCGGAAUUACUGGGCGUAAAGCGCGCGUAGGUGGCUUGAUAAGCCGGUUGUGAAAGCCCCGGGCUCAACCUGGGAACGGCAUCCGGAACUGUCAAGCUAGAGUGCAGGAGAGGAAGGUAGAAUUCCCGGUGUAGCGGUGAAAUGCGUAGAGAUCGGGAGGAAUACCAGUGGCGAAGGCGGCCUUCUGGACUGACACUGACGCUGAGGUGCGAAAGCGUGGGUAGCAAACAGGAUUAGAUACCCGUGUAGUC